Molecule: unclassified non-coding RNA, 291 nt
Filed under: Blastobotrys sp.
Lineage: Eukaryota; Fungi; Ascomycota; Dipodascomycetes; Dipodascales; Trichomonascaceae
Description: partial contains 5.8S ribosomal RNA, internal transcribed spacer 2, and large subunit ribosomal RNA
Rfam family: 5.8S ribosomal RNA (bases 1-71)
Source: RNAcentral
GUGAGUCAUCGAAUCUUUGAACGCACAUUGCGCCCUUGGGUAUUCCCAAGGGCAUACCUGUUUGAGCGUCAUUUCACUCUUAAACCUCUGGUUUAGUGUUGUCUCGUUCUCUUUUAGAGAUGAGGUGAAAUGAAUUGGCACAGAUUUCUAGUGACUUAAACAACGUGAUAGGUUUUUCCAAUUCGUUGGCCAUAGAAGCUAGAUACGUCUGGGCGUACAAACUACUCAAAAGUUUGACCUCAAAUCAGGCAAGACUACCCGCUGAACUUAAGCAUAUCAAUAAGCGGAGGA